This 226-nucleotide ribosomal RNA is filed under the name Vibrio cholerae HC-1A2. RNAcentral describes it as "partial 16S ribosomal RNA". It matches the Rfam family "Bacterial small subunit ribosomal RNA", at positions 1302 to 1527 of the family's 1533-position model. The record is from RNAcentral. Lineage: Bacteria; Pseudomonadati; Pseudomonadota; Gammaproteobacteria; Vibrionales; Vibrionaceae.
AGUCUGCAACUCGACUCCAUGAAGUCGGAAUCGCUAGUAAUCGCAAAUCAGUAUGUUGCGGUGAAUACGUUCCCGGGCCUUGUACACACCGCCCGUCACACCAUGGGAGUGGGCUGCAAAAGAAGCAGGUAGUUUAACCUUCGGGAGGACGCUUGCCACUUUGUGGUUCAUGACUGGGGUGAAGUCGUAACAAGGUAGCGCUAGGGGAACCUGGCGCUGGAUCACC